UGUCCGCGCCCAGGAUUCGAACCAACAAAACACUGGGCCGCCUGCGGCGGAGCACACGAACUCAACCACUCAGCCAUGGGGCCACCCCCAUCCUUACAUUUCUGAUGCUCUUUGUUCCUUCCUGCAGAUUUAUGAUUCUAUCUGGGACUAUUUCUCUUUAGCCUGAAGGCCAUCCUUAGUAUUUGUUGUAUUGAAGUUCUGCUGCCAGCAAAUUAUCUCAGUGUUUGUUUUCCUGAAAAUGCCUUUAUUUUACCUUGAGUUUUGAAGGACGUUUUCACUGGAUAAAGAAUUCUAGGUUGGCAGUUUUCUUUCAGUGCUUUAAAGAUGUUGUCCUAUUAUUUUCUGGCUUCCAAUGUUCCUGAUGAGAAGUCAGCCAUAAUUCUUAUUGUUCUUCCCUUGAAUGUGAUUUGUCCUUUUUUUCUCCAGCUGAUUUUUAAGAAAGUUCUCUUUAUCUGUGAUUUUAGUAAUUUGACUAUGAUUUUCUGUGUAUGGUGUUUUUGUAUUUAUCCUCCUUGAGGUGUGCUGAGUUUCUUGAAUCUGUGGGUUGAUAUCUGUCAUUCGUUUUGGAAAAUGUUUGGUCAUUAUCUCUUCAAAUAUUUUCUCUGUCCCAUUCUCUUUCUCCUUUCAUUCUGGAACUCUAAAUACACAUAUAUUAGCCCAUUUAAUUUGUCCCGUAGUUCUUGGAUGCUUUGUUCCAUCUUAUUUUAUUAUUCUUUUUUUUCCCUGUAUGCUUUAUUUUGGAUAAUUUCUGUUGACCCGUCUUUGAUCCUUUCUUCACAGAUCCUUUCUUCUGCCAUGUCCAAUAUGCUAUUAAAGUAUCUCCAAGGAAUUCUUCAUUUCAGAUACUGUAUUUUUCUGUUCAAGAAUUUCCAUUUAAAACGUUUCAUUUCUAUGCUGAAUUCCCCCAUUUGUGCAAAUGUUUUGUCCAUCUUUUCCUUUAAAUCCUUUAAUACGUUUAUAUAUUUAGUCUUUGCCAAUUCCAGCACCUGGAUUAUAUUGAGUUUACUGCUAGUGACUUUUUUCUCUUGACUAUAGGUCACAUUUCCUACUUCUUUACGUGUCUAGUAAUUUCUUAUUAUAUGUUAGACAGUUUGAAUGUUACAUUGUGGAAAUCUGGAUUAUGAUAUCACCCUCUGAAGAGCGUUGUUGUCUUUUUUUCUGGUGGGCAGAUAACUAACCAGAGGAUCGUCUUGAUCUUGUUGAGAAUUGAUUUUAGACUUUGUUACAAUGAGUCAAUUUCAGUUUUACCCACAGCCCUAGGGUGAAGCCCUUCUCAAUAGUAGCCUUUCUAGAUUUUCAGCAGAAUUCUCAGAGUAUUCUCCAAGGUCUCUCCUCUCUCAUUGGCUCAGGACUCCAAUAUUACUUCAACACUGAGAUCUCUGAAAUCUCUGUUCAGCCCUCAGCCUCCAAGCAGGUUUUCUGCCAGGCCUUGUGGAGUCUUGCCCUGUGCUUGCACACCUUAGGAUUCAGCUGUGGACCUGAAGGGAAUCCCUGUGCAGAUUUUGAAGGCUCCAUCUCUGCUGCUUCUUCUCUGUAAUCUUUCUUUGGUAAUCUGCCCCACAAAUUCUAGCAGUUUUAACAGCCCUAAACUCUGAACUCUCUUUCUACACCCAGUGGACUUUAGCUCUUUGCUUGGAAUCUGCUUUCCUGUGCCAUAGUUUGAAAACUACCCCCAGGCAGAAAGUCAAGGUGAAUGUGGAGCUCAGCCUUGUGCUUCCUUUUGCUUGAGGGUGAUAGCCUUGCAUUGCCUGUGGUUCAAUGCCUGAUAGUGUUUAUUUCAUAUAUUUUGUCCAGUUUUAUAGUUAUUUAUGUCAGGCAGAUAAGUCCCAUACCAGCUACUCUGCCAUGGAUAGAACCAGAAAUUUCUCCUAUUCUUCUCUGAGUCCUUUCCAAUUAAGCUUUUAUCCUCAAGACCCCAGUCUUUUCAAGGUCACUACUGACCUCCACUUUGCUGACUCUGAUUUUCAUUACGAGGUCUCAUCUAACCUGAACGUUCAGCAGCAGUCUCCAUUGUUGAACACCCUCUUCUUGAAACACCUUUUUUUUUCACUUGGCCUCCAGGAAACCAUUGUUUCUUGAUUUUCCUCUUACUUCAGUGACAGCACCACUUUAGUCUUCUUUGCUUGUUCCUCCUCAUCUUCUUGGCCUCCAAGUGCUGGAAAGCCUCAGAGCUCACUAAGAUCUCUUCUUUUCUCUUCUUGGGAAUCGCAUUGAUUCCCAAGGCUUUAAAUACCAUCUACAUAUUCACAAUUCCUAAAUUUGUAUUUCCAGCCUUGAUCUCUGCCCUGAAAUCCAGACUUGGGGCUCCAACUGCUUUUUUUAACAUCUCCACUUGGGAGUCUAAAAAGCAUCCCAAAUUUAACAUGUCCAAAACAGAACUUAUAAUUUUUUCCUUCACAAGCCUGCCUUUCCCAUCUUAAUAAAUAACUCCAAUCUUCCAGUUUUUCAGGCCAAUAAUUUUGGAGUCAUCCUUGAAACUUCUCUUUUACUCAAACCCCACACCCAACCCACCCAAGACCUUUCGUUGGCUCAGCCUUAGAAAUCUGCCCACCAUCUCUCUCCUGGAUUAUUGCAACACUUCCUAAACAGCUUCCUUGCUUCCACCCUUGCCCUCUGUAUCAGCCAGGGACAUGGCAGGCUACAGAUGGCACACUCAGAGGAUACGACUGCAGAGAAUUUAUGAAAGGGGCUGAUCACAAGUUGUGGGUGGGGUCAAGGGUACCAACAAGGGAUAGUGAAGCAUCCUGUCACCACCCCUAGGAUGAGUAAGAGUGAUAGAUGCUAGAAAGGACCUCUUGAUGGGAGCCAUAGCCUUUGGCAGAAAAAGUCAGCAACUGCCACACUACAGCCCAGCAGUGAGAGAGCCAGAGGAAUCUGAUCUUGUGCCCCUGUCUUCCUCUGGCUGGACCUAACUGGAAGCCAAAGUGUUGGGAGUCCAUUGAUAUAGUGCAUGGAGGUUAGCCUCCCUGGGCAGAAAGCCGGGUAGAGAAGGGGAUGGUGGGUUUAGAAGGCAAAUGGGGAAUCUCCAUCAAACCCGAUCCCCUCCUCACAUAUGCACACACUGUGGUCCAUCCUCCACAGAGCAGCCAGAGUGAUGUGUUCACUGCAGCAGAGCAGAGGGGAGAGCAGAGCCACAAGAUGGAUGGGGCCUGGGUCUGAGAAACACUCGAUGGAGGGGACCUGCCUGCCGACCAGGAAACCUCUAUUGUGUUUGAGUUAAUAGAUAUUUGGGAGUCUCUUUGUUACAGUUUAGCCCACUUGACUGAUACUUCUGUGAAACAAGGGUCACAAGAGUGUCAUCUCCAUAGGGUUGCUGGGAGAAUUAAAUAAGAUAUAAUUGCUUAGGGCAAUGCUUAGCAUAUUGUAAGUUCUCAAGCAAUCAUAACAAUUAUAAAUAUUUGAAAUGAAUACAUAAUCAUGCUAUUAAUCAUUUUUUUCAAAUGCCUCAUUACAGGUUUUGGGGAUUUUUCUAGAGAAUAGACAAAUUGUGGAGGGUAUAGGUAUAUAUGGGAGGAGAGAAUUACAGCCUCCCCCCCACAAGAGGCUUCUGGUCCACUUGGCCUCCAGGCAGAGAACCCAAGAGCUUGUUCCAGCCCUGUCCUGAGCAAAACACCCCCACUGGGGUCACACUGUGGUACCCAGUCUCCAAAGAUGGCCUCACGGGACCAUGACUCCCAGCACCCGCUCCCCUGGGAGGUCCCUCCCACACUGAAUCUGGGCUGACCUGUGACUCAGUUCAGGAUAGGGCAGAAGGUACUCUGUGCCUGUUCCAGGUCAAUGCCUUCCACUCUUGCACUUUUGGGAGCCCUAAGUCGUGACAAGCAGUGUGGCUCCCCUGUGGGAGAGACCAUGUGGAGGGGUCACGUGGAUAGGCAGAGACCCUGAGACUCCGUGGAGAUGGAGAGAGAGGCCCAGUCAUCCCAAUGAACCAGAUGAGGCCAGCCUUCCGGUUGUCCCCGCAAAGGCACAAGCCACGUGUAUGAGCCAUCUGCAAGCUCUCCAGCCGGGUGGAGCCCCAGACGACGGCCACUCAGCCAACAUCAGAGAGCAGAAGACUCAUCUGGCUGGGCCCAGUCAACCCUCAGAGUCGAGAGAGCAUAAAAUGGCAGUUGUGUCAAGUCACUUAGUUUUUGGGUGGUUUGUACAUGGCAGCAGGUAACCAAACAGCAACCAGAGCCGGCCCACGGGAGCAGCGUUUGCUGCCUUGAAUUUCCAGCUCGCCCAGCCUCUCACUACAGGGAAACCAAGGGCCAUGUUGCAACCAGAUGCAGGCGGGCUGGGGUGGGAUUCUCCAGGCUCUCUUGGGUGGGGGGGAGUCUGAAUCCUGCCCCCUUGCCGACUGGGGAGGCUGGGCUCCCUCCGCUUGUCUCCAUUCCUCUUCUUGAUUGGCACUUUAAUGAGGGCAGAAGGGGCUGACCCCCUGCCAGGGGGCCAGUUCAUGCCCCGUUUAUCUCGCAGCUCGAGGCAGACUAGAACAACACUGCAGGCGAGCGGCCGGCCAGGAGCCCCCGCCCUCGGUGAUGGAUUGAGUGACCGCGGCGAGUUGGCAGCUGAAGUGUGUGGUGGCUGCACCGUCCUGUCAGCGUGCAACAAAGGGGCCCGCUCGCCAAGCUGCUCUUCCCGGGAAGAAUGACGAGCAGCUCCCAGGGCCCGGCCGCCCUCCCCCAACUCCAACGCCAAGUUUCAAAAGACAGGCCUGAGGAUGGGGCCCAGGAUGCUGGAGGAACUGUUCUGGGGUCCAGGGGGCUGGUGCAUGGGGGUUGGGGAAUUCUGGGCUUGCAGGAAGAGCUGGCACAGAAAACUUUUUCUCUCUGCCUCCUAGUUUCAGGGUCCAAGCCUGGGCCAUAUUCUCAGCAAACAGCCCUCCUGACUGUUUCAUCGAUGGGCUCCAGAGUCCAGCAACCUGUGGGGGAUCCCAGCUGGGCCUUCUACUUGCUGUGCAACUUUACCCCCAGUCGGAAUGAGUCACAGCCCCGGCUUGUAGCCUGAAGAGCUCCACCGGCCCUUCCUUCACAGUUCAUGCGUGUUACGAGUCGCCUUCCGUCUGUCUGUGUGGGUAUUUGGUCCAUGAUGAUGAGCUUGUGUGGACAGGGGCCUUCGCUGCUCACCUAGGCGUCCCCAGCCCCUGGCAGACAGCCUGGCACAGCAGAUGCUCAAUAAAUACUUGCAGACCAGAUACCAUUGCCAGCGUGCGUCUCCCAGUAAACUGGGGACUCUCCUGGGGCAGGGACGUGUCCUGUCUUGUUCAUCAUUAUAGCCCCAAACUCAGAGCCUUGCACAGAGAAGGCUCUUGUGGGAUAUUUGGUAAAUGAAUGAAUUUGCUGCAGAAGAAAAAAGAAAGCAAGAGCAGCCAUAACCACAAAAUCAAGGAAGCUGACCUAGUUUGGGGCAAGAACUGCUGAGAAUGAGGAGAUUCUGAGUCCUUUCAUUUCAAAAGAAUUGUUCCACAUGCUUCACUGAGCCAGGUCCCUGGGGAACCAUGACAUCAGGGAAAGCUGACUGAGCCUGAGACAAGAUCAACUAAAUUACUCCAACUGGUCGACCUCUGCCGACUCUCAUGUCUGCCCACUUGCUCUUGGACAGUUGAAGGAGAGAGGUGACCCUAACACAAUCCAGGACAGCUCUGAAAAAGGAACAGACAUCAAAAACCACAAACUUUCCAAUAUUCUAAGUUUGUGAACAAAGUAGAAUGUCUGGAAAUGGGAGGUAAAGGAAGAAUGGCUACAAUAUAUAAAGAGCUCAUUAAAAUAAACAAGACAAACAUCAAGAGUCCAAGAUAUGUGAGCAAAGAGCAUGAAAAGAUCAUUUACAUACAAAGAAAUCAGAGUAAAGCAGCUGACAUUCAUGGAGUGCUUAUCCUGGGGUAAGCAUCCCAUCAAGAGUUUUACAUAUCAGGGGCUGGGCUGUGGUCGAGUGGUUGAGUUCCUGUGCUCUGCUUUGGCAGCCUGAGGUUCCCCAGUUCAGAUCCUGGGCGCAGACCGACACACCGCUCAUCAGGCCAUGCUGUGGUGGCAUCCCACAUAAAAAAGCCAGAAUGACCUAGAACUAUGAUAUACAGCUAUGUACUGGGGCUUUGGGGAGAAAAAAAAAAGAGGAAGAUUGGCAACAGACGUUAUCUCAAGACCAAUCUUCCUCACCACAAGAAGCAUACCAAAAAAAAAAGUUUUACAUCUUAUUUAAUCAUCACAGGAAGUCCAGCAAGAAAAUUCAACCAACAAAUGUGAAGUUAGGUGACUGUGACAUGUUCCUCAUUUUUUCUAUAGUAUCUAUGAAAUGCUGUAAUCUUUUUGUUUGUCCCAAGAAAACUCUUGCAUUGCUGUCUUAAUGAAAUCUCUCCAGCCCUGCUGGUCUCUGCAGGAUAUAAUUCAUUCAUUCAGCUGUGAAAGGCCGGAAAAUGUUUACAUAUUCACAACUCCGAUGUCUGUGUCUGGAAUAAAAUUAACUUAUUUCUGA
Long non-coding RNA from Equus caballus (horse), 6453 nucleotides. RefSeq lists it as uncharacterized. The record is from RefSeq and is a predicted model, not a curated record. NCBI's taxonomy places the organism in Eukaryota, Metazoa, Chordata, Mammalia, Perissodactyla, Equidae.